UUGAACGCUGGCGGCAUGCUUUACACAUGCAAGUCGAACGGCAGCGCGGGCUUCGGCCUGGCGGCGAGUGGCGUACGGGUGAGUAAUGCAUCGGAACGUGCCCAGUAGUGGGGGAUAGCCCGGCGAAAGCCGGAUUAAUACCGCAUACGACCUGAGGGUGAAAGCGGGGGACCGAAAGGCCUCGCGCUAUUGGAGCGGCCGAUGUCGGAUUAGCUAGUUGGUGGGGUAAAGGCUUACCAAGGCGACGAUCCGUAGCUGGUCUGAGAGGACGACCAGCCACACUGGGACUGAGACACGGCCCAGACUCCUACGGGAGGCAGCAGUGGGGAAUUUUGGACAAUGGGGGCAACCCUGAUCCAGCCAUGCCGCGUGCGGGAAGAAGGCCUUCGGGUUGUAAACCGCUUUUGUUCGGGAAGAAAUCCUCUGGGCUAAUACCCCGGGGGGAUGACGGUACCGGAAGAAUAAGCACCGGCUAACUACGUG
Molecule: ribosomal RNA, 483 nt
Filed under: uncultured bacterium
Lineage: Bacteria
Description: partial 16S ribosomal RNA
Rfam family: Bacterial small subunit ribosomal RNA
Source: RNAcentral